UACUAUUUUAUGGUUCCAGUGUAAUUUUAAUCAUAGUUUUACCUUCAUAAAAAUCAGCGCAUUCCUUGUCAGUCAGGAAUUCACGAUGAAAAUUAUUCUGCUCGUAUUUUGCAUUGUAGCUAUAUGUAGCUGCCAUAAGGAUUCCACAGGUUUAGCUGAAAAAGAGGAUGUUGCCACAAUGAGCACUAUUGCAAAGUAUACGUUCAACGUAGCGUCUAAAUUUGUUCUUUGGAUUUUAGGUUUUUACCUCGAUGAAAAAAUGUUGAAUAUUAUAACGAAGAUUUUUGAAAGUAUAAAGAAUUUAGUGAACAUGAAGGACUAACAUUUGUGUAUAAUUUCUCUAUAAAAGCAUUAAAACAAUAAUAAUAA
Molecule: long non-coding RNA, 369 nt
Organism: Aethina tumida (small hive beetle)
Lineage: Eukaryota; Metazoa; Arthropoda; Insecta; Coleoptera; Nitidulidae
Exons: 3
Source: RefSeq, a predicted model, not a curated record